CCGUAAAAUCAAUUAACACCAAUCAACGCCAGGGUACUACGAGCUCCAGCUUAAAACCCAAAGGACUUGACGGUGUCCCACCCAACUAGAGGAGCCUGUUCUAUAAUCGAUGAUCCACGAUACACCCGACCAAUUUUUGCUCUCAGCCUGUAUACCUCCGUCGCCAGCCUACCAUAUUACUGAAAAAUAGUAGACUUAAGGACUUUAAAGCCCCAACGUCAGGUCAAGGUGCAGCUUAUAAAAUGGAAAAGGAUGAGCUACAAUUUCUAACUUAGAACACACAAAAUGCUACAUGAAACAUAGUUACGAAGAUGGAUUUAGUAGUAAAUGGGGAAUAGAGAGCCCCAUUAAAUUAGGCCCUGGGACGUGUACAAACCGCCCGUCACCCUCUUCAACAGCCCCCCCCCCAGUUAAAUAAAACAUCUUAGCACCCUAGAAGAGGCAAGUCGUAACAUGGUAAGUGUACUGGAAAGUGCACUUGGAAUAU
Molecule: ribosomal RNA, 487 nt
Filed under: Nasutixalus jerdonii (Jerdon's tree frog)
Lineage: Eukaryota; Metazoa; Chordata; Amphibia; Anura; Rhacophoridae
Description: partial 12S ribosomal RNA
Rfam family: Bacterial small subunit ribosomal RNA
Source: RNAcentral